CAGUAGCCGCGGGAAUACGUAGGCAGCAAGCGUUGUUCGGAAUUACUGGGCGUAAAGAGUGUGUAGGCGGUGCUCUAAGUUCGGUGUGAAAUCUCCCGACUCAACUGGGAGGGUGCGCCGGAAACUGGAGUGCUCGAGCGUGGGAGAGGAAAGCGGAAUUCCUGGUGUAGCGGUGAAAUGCGUAGAUAUCAGGAGGAACACCUGUGGUGUAGACGGCUUUCUGGACCAUUGCUGACGCUGAGACACGAAAGCGUGGGUAGCAAACAGGAUUAGAUACCCGCGUAGUCCCUGUCUCUUAUAC
This 301-nucleotide ribosomal RNA is filed under the name uncultured bacterium. Its description in RNAcentral is "partial 16S ribosomal RNA". It matches the Rfam family "Bacterial small subunit ribosomal RNA", at positions 509 to 807 of the family's 1533-position model. The record is from RNAcentral.